CGCAAGUCUGAUGGAGCGACGCCGCGUGGGUGAUGAAGGUCUUCGGAUCGUAAAGCCCUUUUCUGCGUGACGAGACAGGACGGUAGCGCAGGAAUAAGUCUCGGCUAACUACGUGCCAGCAGCCGCGGUAAAACGUAGGAGACAAACGUUAUCCGGAGUUACUGGGCGUAAAGGGCGUGUAGGCGGUAUGUUAAGUCUGGCGUGAAAGCUCUCGGCUAAACCGGGAGAGGUCGUUGGAUACUGGCAAACUAGAGGAUGGUAGAGGCGUGUGGAAUUCCGGGUGUAGUGGUGAAAUGCGUAGAGAUCCGGAGGAACACCAGUGGCGAAGGCGACACGCUGGGCCAUACCUGACGCUAAAGCGCGACAGCAUGGGGAGCAAACGGGAUUAGAAACCCCGGUAGUCCAUGCCGUAAACGAUGCCAGCUAGAUGUUCACGUCUCGCAAGAGACUGGGGUAUCGAAGCAAACGCGAUAAGCUGGCCGCCUGGGGAGUACGGUCGCAAGGCUAAAACUCAAAGGAAUUGACGGGGGCCCGCACAAGCAGCGGAGCGUGUGGUUUAAUUCGAGGCUACACGAAGAACCUUACCUGGGUUUGACAUAGCGGUGGUAGUGAACUGAAAAGGGAACGACCUUCGGGAGCCGUUACAGGUGCUGCAUGGCUGUCGUCAGCUCGUGCCGUGAGGUGUUCGGUUAAGUCCGCAAACGAGCGCAACCCCUGGUGCUAGUUACACGUGUCUAGCGCAACUGCCCGUGAGAAACGGGAGGAAGGUGGGGAUGACGUCAAGUCAGCAUGGCCUUUAUAUCCAGGGCUACACACACGCUACAAUGGGCGGUACAAUGGGUCGCAAAGCCGCGAGGUGGAGCCAAUCCUAAAAAGCCGUUCGUAGUUCGGAUUGCAGGCUGCAACUCGCCUGCAUGAAGUUGGAGUUGCUAGUAACCGCAGGUCAGCUAUACUGCGGUGAAUACGUUCCCGGGCCUUGUACACACCGCCCGUCACGUCAUGGGAGCUGGUCACGCCUGAAGUCGGGAAGCUAACCGCAAGGGGGCUACCGCCGAGGGCAGGGCCGGUGACUGGGACGAAGUCGUAACAAGGUAGCCGUA
RNAcentral lists this ribosomal RNA (1100 nucleotides) under uncultured bacterium. RNAcentral describes it as "bacterial SSU rRNA". It matches the Rfam family "Bacterial small subunit ribosomal RNA", at positions 376 to 1504 of the family's 1533-position model. The record is from RNAcentral.